RNAcentral lists this ribosomal RNA (465 nucleotides) under uncultured bacterium. RNAcentral describes it as "partial 16S ribosomal RNA". It matches the Rfam family "Bacterial small subunit ribosomal RNA", at positions 338 to 795 of the family's 1533-position model. The record is from RNAcentral.
CCUACGGGUGGCAGCAGUGGGGAAUAUUGUGCAAUGGGCGAAAGCCUGACGCAGCGACGCCGCGUGAGGGAUGAAGGUCUUCGGAUCGUAAACCUCUGUCAGCAGGGAAGAACGGUCACUGUGCUAAUCAGCAGUGAAUUGACGGUACCUGCAAAGGAAGCACCGGCUAACUCCGUGCCAGCAGCCGCGGUAAUACGGAGGGUGCGAGCGUUAAUCGGAAUUACUGGGCGGAAAGCGCUCGUAGGCGGUAUGUCAAGUCAAGGGUGAAAUCCCCGCGCUUAACGUGGGAACUGCCUUUGAAACUGGCAAACUGGGGGGUGUGAGAUGAUAAUGGAAUUCCAGGUGGAGGAGGGAAAUCCGUAGAUAUCUGGAGGAACAUCAGGGGCGAAGGCGACUAUCUGGCACAUAACUUACGCUGAGGAGCGAAAGCGUGGGUAGCAAACAGGAUUAGGUACCCCUGUAGUC